GUCCUUGUCGAUUAGUGGUCAAAUCAUCUCGUUGUGGCUUCAUUUCCGCUCCGAGAAGCCGGAAGUUCGAAUCCUCCCUGGGACA
Termitomyces sp. J132 is the source of this 85-nucleotide transfer RNA. It matches the Rfam family "tRNA". Rfam says of the family: Transfer RNA (tRNA) molecules are approximately 80 nucleotides in length. Their secondary structure includes four short double-helical elements and three loops (D, anti-codon, and T loops). The record is from Rfam. NCBI's taxonomy places the organism in Eukaryota, Fungi, Basidiomycota, Agaricomycetes, Agaricales, Lyophyllaceae.